GAUGAACGCCGGCGGCGUGCCUAAUACAUGCAAGUAGAACGCUGAAGCUUGGUGCUUGCACCGAGCGGUGAGUUGCGAACGGGUGAGUAAACGCGUAGGUAACCUGCCUCUUAGCGGGGGAUAACUAUUGGAAACGAUAGCUAAUACCGCAUAAAAGUCGAUAUCGCAUGAUAUUGAUUUGAAAGGUGCAAUUGCAUCACUAAGAGAUGGACCUGCGUUGUAUUAGCUAGUUGGUGAGGUAACGGCUCACCAAAGCGACGAUACAUAGCCGACCUGAGAGGGUGAUCGGCCACACUGGGACUGAGACACGGCCCAGACUCCUACGGGAGGCAGCAGUAGGGAAUCUUCGGCAAUGGGGGCAACCCUGACCGAGCAACGCCGCGUGAGUGAAGAAGGUUUUCGGAUCGUAAAGCUCUGUUGUAAGAGAAGAACGAGUGUGAGAGUGGAAAGUUCACACUGUGACGGUAACUUACCAGAAAGGGACGGCUAACUACGUGCCAGCAGCCGCGGUAAUACGUAGGUCCCGAGCGUUAUCCGGAUUUAUUGGGCGUAAAGCGAGCGCAGGCGGUUAGAUAAGUCUGAAGUUAAAGGCUGUGGCUUAACCAUAGUACGCUUUGGAAACUGUUUAACUUGAGUGCAGAAGGGGAGAGUGGAAUUCCAUGUGUAGCGGUGAAAUGCGUAGAUAUAUGGAGGAACACCGGUGGCGAAAGCGGCUCUCUGGUCUGUAACUGACGCUGAGGCUCGAAAGCGUGGGGAGCAAACAGG
RNAcentral lists this ribosomal RNA (765 nucleotides) under uncultured Streptococcus sp. Its description in RNAcentral is "bacterial SSU rRNA". It matches the Rfam family "Bacterial small subunit ribosomal RNA", at positions 28 to 776 of the family's 1533-position model. Lineage: Bacteria; Bacillati; Bacillota; Bacilli; Lactobacillales; Streptococcaceae. The record is from RNAcentral.